GGGGCGGUCUCUUCCGCCUCCUGCCUGGUUCGCCGCUCCCCUCCGCGACGACACGCCCCCAGCCCACUCCGCCGCGGGACGCCUCAUCCCGCGGGUACCCUUCACAGGUUUAACAGCCUCCACCCCUCGGGCACCAAGCAGUGUUAUCCAGGAAAAAAAAAAAAAAAGAGACUGAUUCUCAGUAGUAAUCUCUGUGCCUGUGAGGAACUUAAUGCAAGUCUCAGGAUCUCAAAAUAAGACCUACGAGCAUAAAGUAAUGAGUCUGUCAAGCUGGAUUUCCAUGCAUGGGGGAGGAUCUCUUUAAGUAAGGAAACUUCCUUGUGCUUCUUUAAGCACAGUUGCUAUCAUUCCGGGAGAAGCUCCUUUUAACCCAUAUCUUCUUCCAACUAGCAUCCUAUUUUUUUUCUUUCCUUCCCAGCUGAACUUCUUAAGGACCAACCUAUAUGAUGUGAUAUUUUAGAUAUUAACCUAUUUUUCUUGGUAUUCCUUGUAUAGCUUGCCACUUUCCCAACCCUCACCCAUAGGUUUGUUGCAUUGAAGAAAGGAUGUAGAAGGAAAAUCUUUCUGGCUUUUGUUUCUAGACUCUCAAACCCCACAAAUGGGGAGAGGAUUCAGGCCACAGAGAAAUGGCUUCAGGAGAAGCCAAGGGCAGGGGUAUAUAGGUGGAGGGAGAACAGGCAGCAUCUUCCUCCCCCUCAACUCUAGAAACAGAUUUCUCUGGGUCUGAGAGGGUGGGAGGGUGCUUCUAGGUGGACAAAACCACACAGCCCGUUUAACCUUCCUGGUCUCCAAAAUAUCCCGUACCCUAUCUUAGUACAGAGCAAUAUUUCAAAAUCCUGACAAAACCAGAAUGGAGACUCAAAACAGAAAUUGAAUUGGUGGAAUAUAUUAAAACAUAUUUCUUUACAAGCUUGAGUUGUGGGCUAAAAUUCAUACUGCUACAUGUUCAUUAAUCUUGCCUUCCUCACCCCAUAAAAUGUGCUCAGGCUGGGCAUGGUGGCUCACGCCUGUAAUCCCAGCACUUUGGGAGGCCGAGGCAGGCAGAUCACCAGAGGUCAGGAGUUCGAGACCAGCCUGGCCAACAUGGUGAAACCCUGUCUCUACUAAAAAUACAAAAAUUAGCUGGGCGUGGUGGCAGGUGCCCAUAGUCCCAGCUACUUAGUAGGCCGAGGCAAGAGAAUCACUUGAACCCGGGAGGCGGAGGUUGCAGUGAGCCAAGAUCGUGCCACUGCAUUCCAGCCUGGGUGACAAAAGCAGACUCCAUCUCAAAAAAAAAAAAAAGUGUGCUCAACCCCCACCAGUCCACUGAAAGUUACCAUGGUAAGGUCAUCAAUGACCCUCAUUUCCCAACCUACUUUUCAGUUCUCAGACCUUAUUCCACAAACUUUUCAACCAAGAAGUUCUAAUGAUAGAAUUGUUCACUCCUUCCUGCUUAAAACUUUUUCCUUAUCCCCUUUGGGAUACAAUUGCAUCCUAGUCUUCCUUUUAUUUCUCUGAAUAUGCCUUCUCAAUUUCAUUUGUGGGCUUCUCAUUUUGCAGUUGCUCCCAUAAGUACUAAUCUUCCUCAGAGUCCAGCCAUCAGUCCCUUCAGGUUUAAAUUAUUUCUGAUUAUGAUUGCAUAUUUUCAAUUGCCAAAUAUACUAAUACAUUUAUUAAUAACUACCAGAUCUACCAGAUCUAUAUCUCCAGCCCAGGCUUUCCUCCUGACAUCAACCCUAUGUAUAAUAGAUAUCCACUUACAUGUCACACAAACAUCCUAAACCCAGGUUUUU
RNAcentral lists this long non-coding RNA (1772 nucleotides) under Homo sapiens (human). Its description in RNAcentral is "HSALNT0120464". Lineage: Eukaryota; Metazoa; Chordata; Mammalia; Primates; Hominidae. The record is from RNAcentral.